This 245-nucleotide ribosomal RNA is filed under the name uncultured bacterium. RNAcentral's name for it is "partial 16S ribosomal RNA". It matches the Rfam family "Bacterial small subunit ribosomal RNA", at positions 524 to 768 of the family's 1533-position model. The record is from RNAcentral.
UACGAAGGGGGCGAGCGUUGUUCGGAAUUACUGGGCGUAAAGGGCGCGCAGGCGGCUUCAGAAGUCAGGCGUGAAAGCCCCGGGCUCAACCUGGGAAUUGCGCUUGAUACUCUGAGGGUAGAGUACGGGAGAGGAGAGUGGAAUUCCCAGUGUAGAGGUGAAAUUCGUAGAUAUUGGGAAGAACACCGGUGGCGAAGGCGGCUCUCUGGACCGAGACUGACGCUGAGGCGCGAAAGCGUGGGGAG